RNAcentral lists this ribosomal RNA (324 nucleotides) under uncultured eukaryote. RNAcentral's name for it is "partial 18S ribosomal RNA". It matches the Rfam family "Eukaryotic small subunit ribosomal RNA", at positions 1470 to 1796 of the family's 1831-position model. The record is from RNAcentral.
CCCUUAGACGUUCUGGGCCGCACGCGCGCUACACUGACCAGUGCAACAAGCAUCCGUCCUUGGCCGACAGGCCCGGGCAAUCUUUGAACGCUGGUCGUGAUGGGGAUAGACUUUUGCAAUUUUUGGUCUUCAACGAGGAAUUCCUAGUAAACGCAAGUCAUCAACUUGCAUUGAUUACGUCCCUGCCCUUUGUACACAUCGCCCGUCGCUCCUACCGAUUGAAUGCUCAGGUGAGCCAUUCGGACUUUCAUCAUGCUGGUUUCCAGUUUUGAUGAAGGAAAGUCUUGCGAACCUUAUCAUUUAGAGGAAGGAGAAGUCGUAACA